CUAGUUGCUGUCACAACCGCACAGUGUGCGGCCGCCGGUUUUCAAGGAAGGCCUACGGCGCUGAAUUUGUGUGUUGUCAUCGCCGAAAGUUCCGUCUAGUUGGUCAGCAUGUUUGUGCCUUUGCAGCCCUUCAAAGGCCACCAGUGGCACGAAUACUCGCUUGUACUGCCUGUUGUGUCUGUCGGCAAUGCCGCUCAGCUGGCAGUUGACCUACUGCUGUCGACACUCGAGACAGAGCUGGUCGGCUACAUCCACUCGACGGCUCUUGUGCCACUUGUUGGCGGCAAUCCGUAUCGUGUUAGCGACCAGAGGCUUGCCACAGCGUGCCAAGUCUAUGUGUGCCACCGAAGCAAGCUUCUAGUGGUGCAGCAGAGGACACCUGUUUCAGCAAACUGCCGCGCUGAGUAUCGCCAGUUUCUGACAGAGUGGAUCAAGCAGGAAAGGUUUCGUCUGGUCAUCAUGCUCUCCAGCUGCCUCUCCCAGUUCACCAACCCAUCCGACCUCCCCAGGUACUCGGUGCACUACUACUGCACUCCGACAGUUGGUGAGCCUGUGGAGGCCCAGCUGCAGGCACUGCAUUGGACGCGACUCGAAAAGCAGGACCCCGUGACCCGUGAACGCCACCCUGAGGGUGUGCUGCUCAUGCCCGGAUCAGGCAUCACUCGGUCUCUGCUCGACAAGUGCGUCUCUGACGAGAUCCCUGUUGUCCUUCUGCUUGUGUACUGCUCCGAGGGAGACAACACGCCCGAUGCCAUCUUGUUGGCCGACCGAUUGGACGAGUGGCUACACCUUUGCCAGCCACCAACCGACGGUGGAGAGCAGCGCGGACGACGAGGACCGUGGCAGACGCCGAUCUCGUGGAGCUUGCUCUUUGGCAGUGCCCCACCAACCAGCAUCUACUAGUCUUCUGCAUUGCGUCAAGACCUGCCUUACCAUUGUUGGUGAUGUGGCUUGCCAGGGAAGGGCUGAUGCUUGAGAUGAGUGACACCAAACAGCCCACAAAUGUGAAGAGAGGAAAGUGAAUGCAAUUUGUUCGUCUCUUGCAUACAGUUUAUUGCAGCUUUACAAAAUUGCAGACUAUGGUCUACAAAAAACACUGUAUGAUGAACACUUUCAAAACCUAUGUUACAAGUUUUUUGUUGUUGCACAAUGAAGGAACGUUGUACAAAAGCAGGAGCAUAUUUGCUGGACGGUGUUGUUCUACUGGCAUCGCCUCAUUUUCAGCAGCUUCUGCUUUUCUCUUUGUGUGUUUCGUUCCAUGUUCUUUGCUUUUGCAAGGAAGUGAAGCUGCGUCAGCGCAUAGAACUUAAUUAUGUUUGUUGUCAAACUCCGCCCAUGCUCACUGCACUCCACCUUAAGCUUUGCUCCCUGAAGAAAAUGUAGAAUGCAGACCAUGCGUUCAGCACAAGCCGAUUCCUGCUGAAAUUCACAAUAAAUGUGCCCUCAACUUUAGAAACAAGCUCCUCAACAGCUUUGUAAGGGUAGGUCAAGCCCCCAUGAUCAAACUGACUGGUUAAUAUAGAAUUUCCACCACGUUCUGCUUGUGGGGGCAAAAUACAAAGACAAGAGACACACUGUGGGCAUGGAAAUCUUUUUAAAGACUCUCUGACAACAUAGCCAGCUAUGUAAUGAACUAACCUACUGUCACUGGGCUUUUCGACAGAGUUGUCAUGAUCGAACUGCUUGCCUUUUGUUUCUGGCACAGGUUCUACACACUCCAAAUUUCCAUCAUCCAAGAGCUCAUCAAUAAUUUCUGUUAGGUGGUCAGCCUUUUGUUUGCCAACAUCAGAUGGCUUUAAGAUUGCGGUUAUGAAGUCUUCUAGCAAGUUCCCAUUUUUUAGGAGGCUUUGCCAAAGUGUAGAAUGACAGGCUGUUUAUUAUAAUUAAAAACUGCUGAGGUGAAGGAUGGUCAUUGCAACCAAAUGAUUGCCUUACAA
Molecule: RNA transcript, 1937 nt
Organism: Dermacentor andersoni
Lineage: Eukaryota; Metazoa; Arthropoda; Arachnida; Ixodida; Ixodidae
Gene name: proteasome assembly chaperone 2
Source: RefSeq, a predicted model, not a curated record